Long non-coding RNA from Aquila chrysaetos chrysaetos, 186 nucleotides. RefSeq lists it as uncharacterized. NCBI's taxonomy places the organism in Eukaryota, Metazoa, Chordata, Aves, Accipitriformes, Accipitridae. The record is from RefSeq and is a predicted model, not a curated record. The transcript is spliced from 3 exons.
AAAUUCUUUUCUUCAGGCUGAAAUAAACACACACUUUCACAUUGACGUUGGUAAUCAAUACAAAAUCCAUCAAAAUCCAAGCAGAAUGUUCACUGGAAUGUUUGAGACUGGAAUGAAGACAUUGACAGGAAACUCAACAACUCCAUAUAGAAGAUAGAGUAUGGCAGACACUACAGGAAAGAGCCU